UACGGAAGGCAGCAGUGGGGAAUAUUGCACAAUGGGCGAAAGCCUGAUGCAGCUAUGCCGCGUGUAUGAAGAAGGCCUUAGGGUUGUAAAGUACUUUCAUCGGGGAGGAAAAAACAAAACUAAUAAUUUUAUUUCUUGACGUUACCCGAAAAAGAAGCACCGGCUAACUCCGUGCCAGCAGCCGCGGUAAUACGGAGGAUGCUAGCGUUAAUCAGAAUUACUGGGCGUAAAGAGCACGUAGGUGGUUUUUUUAAGUCAGAUGUGAAAUCCCUGGGCUUAACCUAGGAACUGCAUUUUGAAACUGAAAUACUAGAGUAUCGUAGAGGGAGGUAGAAUUCUAGGUGUAGCGGUGAAAUGCGUAGAUAUCUGGAGGAAUACCUGUGGCGAAAGCGGCCUCCUAAACGAAUACUGACACUGAGGUGCGAAAGCGUGGGGAGCAAACAGGGAUUAGAUACC
This 456-nucleotide ribosomal RNA is filed under the name uncultured bacterium. Its description in RNAcentral is "bacterial SSU rRNA". It matches the Rfam family "Bacterial small subunit ribosomal RNA", at positions 340 to 786 of the family's 1533-position model. The record is from RNAcentral.